GCCCUUGGCCUGCGUACACUUCCU
Molecule: non-coding RNA, 24 nt
Filed under: Cricetulus griseus (Chinese hamster)
Lineage: Eukaryota; Metazoa; Chordata; Mammalia; Rodentia; Cricetidae
Source: RNAcentral